This is an RNA transcript of Meriones unguiculatus (Mongolian gerbil), 667 nucleotides long. RefSeq lists it as uncharacterized. Lineage: Eukaryota; Metazoa; Chordata; Mammalia; Rodentia; Muridae. The transcript has 3 exons. The record is from RefSeq and is a predicted model, not a curated record.
AGCCGCUGCGACAGAGGUGCUUUAGUCCGUGGCUGUGGACGCAGCACCAGACACUGCAGGAACGGUGAGGGCUGUGUAUCCGAGGCGGCGGCAGCCAGAAUCUGACCGCAAGUCCGGGUCUCCAACGCCGCGCCGGCUGCUAAGGUGCUGUCGCUCAGCGGCGUGCUCGCCGUGCACAGCCCGAAGGGCCAAUUCAGCCAGGCUGCUGAACCGGCUGAAGGAGAAGCUGCUGGCAGGUUACUCUGCCCUGAAGAAGGAUGGACAGAGCCUCUCAGCGCUGAUGAAGAGCGACAAAGCAGUCCAGCCCAGACUGGGUGGGCUAGUGGUGGCACUCAGAAUCUCCCCCUGAAAUUCCAGCCACCAUGUUUCAUGUGAGGUUGUUGCCUCUAACCCUGUGAAGUGAAUAGGCUGAUGGUCUUAUGUGGCUGAUGCCCUGUAAACCUAACAGAGAACGUUGGCGGCCUCACCUGAGCAUCCUCAGCACGUCGGCGGCAUAGGGAAGGUGGCUCAACGAGUGAAGGCACUUGUCCCCAAGACCUAAGACUUGAGUUUCGGCCCCUGGGCAACCUACGUGAUGGAGGGAGAGAAGCAGCUCCAGUAAGCUGUCCGCAUCCACCCCUACCCCACACAUGAGCAAUGAAUAAAAGGUUUUUAAUUUCAAAACUAA